AGAUGAAAAUACGGAGCUGUACAACAAGAACAUCUCUGCAUAUAUCUCUUUUUUAGGAAGGCCAAACAACAACAGACAGAAGUUAGGUUCGAUUUACUGUUACAUACAUACAUACUGAUACAUAUUAACCAAAAAGGCGUGUUUAACUAUAUUGUGAAUACGAAGCUACGUACUUGAUAUAUGAACACUGUCGUUUUUCUGAGAAGAUCAAGAAUUUUAACUGCGGCCCAAAGUGACCAAAAAAAGAUCGAAGAUUGGCUUCUUUGAUCUGCCGUCGCUCACGAAUCUCUAUGCAUCUGGAGACAAGUGGAGGCGCACAGAUUGAGUACCUAAUUUUUUCAGACUAAGCAUUUUUACUAUAUCUAUGGGACCUGACCGGACCUAGGGCGUCUCCCUAACUCCGCUAGCUAGAGUGAAAGAAGCCGAUUAAUGGCGCUAUUCAUACUUAAUUGCUCGGCUGUGCCAGUUUUGGAGAUGAGAAUAAAGGUCGAUCGAAAAACGAUGCCGAUUCAAAGUCGUCAAUCUUAGCCAUUUUCUCUAAUAGUCCGGCUAGUUAACUCUUUUUAAGCCGUCGAGGAGGUUACUGAAUGCAACCCCUCUGUGACACAGUAAUGGCCGAAAACUACAGUGUUCGUAUGUUCAACAACUGUGAAGACCAAAGUGCUUGUCGUUAAACGUGAAGAAAUCCGUAAAAGUUUGUGCAUCUCUUGAACUUUAAAGUUUGAUAUUACAAAUCUAAUUACCACUAAAUCAAGCACGCCCUCACUAGGACAACUGCUUUCCAACCUCCCGAUGCGAUUUUUUAAACCAUCUUAACUCCUGUCUCUUUGCUACUGCUUUAACGGUCGUCGUGAUAAAUGCUCUAUGUGAAAAAAUAAACGAAAGUAUGAUAAAAUUCAAGUAAAAAAAAAGAUCUAUCGAGAAAAUUUUUGAAAGCGUCCCUACACGACGGGCGUAUUAGCGGACACGUGGUUCUUUUGAUCGAGAGCGGGCCACCACAAACAUAGCGCUAGCCUAUUACCAUCGAAGCCGCAGAUUGGAUCCCUUGGCGAAAUCUACCUCUUCCAUAUAUUCAUUCAAUCAUCGGUCAAUCUAGGAGAAGCCGAAUCGGCUUAACUCUUAUAUUUUUUAACAGGUUUUGUUAGUGAAAGCUAAAGCAAAAGAGAACCCGGGGAAGAAAGAUAGCUCGUCCUUCACACGGCUUCUCUUGAUGUUUUCCCGUUCGGCUGUUAGCCAUCCGACCGAUCGAUAAGAAUGAACCACAUUACACCGCUUUACAGGUCUACAUUGUGUCAGACGUGGCCGUCCUUUGCUUUAUCUGGCAUUUGACUAUAGUUACCGCUCUACAAUCCCUGCAUAGUUGUAUUCAUAACGAUUAAUUGUGCUAUGUCUUUCGCUCGGCUUUCCCUCUUCUUUCUUGUGGUUAUCGUCUGCCAGUCAGCCCACCUUCACCGCCCCUGUGGAAAUUGGAACACAACUACGCUUUCGGUGAUUAUAGGUGCCUGGUACGCUUUAUGCGAUGUAAUGUAAUGCAACGCCACGCAAUAAUCCCCUGUCAGACAAUUCACGCGAGCGCGAACAACCGGAAUAUUGACGCUCGCCUUGAUAUGCCCGCUCUCUUAGCUCUUGGUUAUGUUGUUCACGUCGUUGUUAAUGUUGUUGCCGUACUCGUUGAAAUCGUCGCGGUUGUACUUAUCUGCGGGAUCUUCUUGUGCCACUUCUUCUUUUUCUUGGCUUUUCCAGACACCCGAUUCCUCCAGUUUUCUGCAUAACAUACCAGAGUCAUCUGUUCUUGUUCCCUUGCCGAUGGCUUUUCGCGCGGAAAGAAGGAAACGCUAUUUAACUUCGCACGGACGGCAAUCAUCGCCGAUGACUCGCUCUCUGAAGCCCGCCGUAUUUGGUCUUGUUUUUAACGGUGUCUAAAAAGAAUAGCUCCGUUUGGGGACUCGCGCGCAUCCUUAUCAGUUUGCAGCGAUGCAGCCACUAUACAUGAGCGCUCUUCCGGGUAUCCCAUGCCUUCUAAUCUUCUUGUUUUACCAAACUUCACCUGUCGCUGGAGCGGAACAAGUGUCUUCGGUGGUAAAUACCCCCCUGCAUACGACGGUCGAGCAUUCCGUGCAUCCUUCAACGACACGUCAGAAAGAAACGUGGAGCCCUAUCAUUCAACUGAACCAAUUAGUGAGACCCAGACGAGAUCGCUUGCCGCCAGGCUUCAAAGUUCUUCGAGUGACACCAUCUGAGGAUGGUCGGCAAAAAUUCCCACCAAGCACAUCAGAGGGUGCAGGACCACACGUUCUCAUUACAAAGCUCUUGGAUUCGAUACACCAUACUAUUAUCCUGACGGCCCGACCGUGGUUUUCCCUGGUGGCCACCAGCAUCCUGAGUCACCUAUUGUUCCGCUUGUGGUCACACCAGCAGCGUAUCCAGGCUCAUUUGUUCACUCAUAUCCCAGUUAUCCCGAGGUAGUUUACCCGGUUUAUCCAACCAGAGGGGGAGUGCGCCCAGAACAUAGCGUCGACAUCAACGAUCAACAAGCUGGCGGCGACCAACAUCACGAUGAACGUAUUGUGUGCCAGGAACACGUCAAGCGCAUCAAGGGGGUUUCAGCAGUCCAGAAAACGCCGACAUACAUCGCUGCAACCAAUGGUGUACCCGUUGCCCUUAAGAUUUUCCCCCAACCACAAUGGGUGCAGAUCUCAAAACACCACCAAAACUCGAAAAAUUUCCACUACAAUCUGUUGUAAUCUGGGAUGCAGGUUAAUGUUGUGUAAAUCUGCUUACAAAUGUUUCACCUUACGUUGUGUAUGUAUAAUACUAUCUAUCAAAUAUAGUACAUGUCAUCGAAGUGGUUACAAUGUCGGAAAGCGCUAAGCUACGGUUACCUACUCGUGUAUAAACGCUACUAUUAUAUUAACCAUUUAUAGUUACACGACCACACACGAUCAUAUCAUUGCGCGUACAAUAAAAACACUUCUUUUCUUGCACGUUGCUUUCAAAGCGAAUCGUCGUAGAGCUACCUUAAAAGCCCGCAUAUUGUAUACGGUGGAACGUGUAUAUAUAAGUUAAAUGUGUUUAUUCUGUAAUAUUAAAUAAUAAUUUAAGUGCCCAAACAUAAACUGUGCGAUGCUCGUCAUAUCCUAGUAGCAAGUACACAAGCCCACCGGAUAACAGAGACCUCCAAAUGGAUACCUUAUUGGAUUGGAUGCUAGAGAUAUCGCGUGCUUGGAUUAGUUGGUAUGUCAAUGUAAAAGCCAUCAAAACAUCGACAACUUAAUACGCUCUAUAACUACAUAUUAAGACAACUAUAUUAUAUCACAUGCACUUCCUGGUGAGGGAGUUGAAGGGUGGCCUGAAAAUUUGUGAAAAAUCCCGAAUCCUGUGUGCACUUUGAAGAUAUCUCACAGAUACGUUGCAUUCGUUAUUAUAUUAAGUAUAUUUUUCUAACGAAAUCUUCGGUUACGCAUGUUAUACGAUGUUGCACUUGCCACUGGUUUGACUUUUAAUAGUACAAUAUUGAACCCUGUAUUCGUUACUAGAACUUUCACGACGAAAAAGAGGCUUUUGAUUCUAUCUUGUAUUAACUAUUCAACAUUGCAAUUGAUAGAACUAUAUCGAUUUCUUUACAUCACCUUCUCUUAUCAAUGCGAUACACAGACGAAAAAUAACCUUCGGCCAGCCAGUGCUAAUAAUAUUCAAUGUUCGUAAAAAAGCUGCGGUGCCAAUCUCCGUUGACUAGCAAGCCAACGAGCCAGGUAUUUCUAACUGACAGUCUUAUAUCUUGGUUGAUUGAACAGUCUCAACGAAGUCUGGCUUGCUCGUCACUAAUCCACUGUUGAAUCGCAGAUCUGAAGAAAAAGAGUUAUACCCAAUUCAUCGAAAAAGAAGAGCUCUGUACAGCGGGAAUGAAAGACCGUUAAAAAGAAGUUUUCACGUGCUGAACAUAUCAAGAUAGGAACCGUCGGUUUGGCAAUGGAGUCGACGGAUGACUACCAUGUCCAUUCAGUGAUGCCUCCACAGGUAUUUUCUGUUUUCUCCAUCCACACCUGAGUGUUCAGCAGAACGUGAAUGGUCAUGGCGUCUACAUCAAGGUUUGGCCGACUACCUGAACCAGGAUCUAUAGUAGAUCCUUCUUUUUUAUAGAAUCUAUUCCAAUUAUUCUUGAAUUCAAGGUAGACAAGACACAACCUGUAGGUAAUUUACGAGUUCAGACAAACAAAUAUAUCAAGAUACAUUCUUAGAAUAUUGUAGUGUCAUGAAACGCAUCCAAAAUUUCUGUUAAAGCACUGUUCAAUAAUAAACAAAGUUAUUAAGUAAGUUAUUCCAUUGUUCUUAACCUGAGCAACUAUGUUCUGGAACUUGUCACCCUAAACACCUAUCUAAUGCAGACAUUUUGUUACUUAGGGAAAAAUAGUACCAUACCAGUAAUACUGAAAAUAUUCGAAGUCUUGUACUUGCCCAGUUAUUACAGAUGUAUAUUCGUAACAUUUAUCUCGAUUACUGAUAGUACUCGAUAUUUUCUACAUUUUUUUCAUGAAAUGACUGCGGUAAUCACACAACUUACGCAAUCAGAGGUGCCGCUUCGUUAAAUUGGCAAUGCAUCGGUAAAUUUGAGCGUAUGUGCGCGUGCUUGUACUCGCUUUGAUACAUGCGUGUUACGCGAUAUUCUUGUAUACUUUUCGUGAACGAAUGUUGAUGGGUGCGUGAUUUUUAGCUGGACAAAUCUUGUUCUAUAUUCUAGUAAACAAUGUACUGGUGAACCAGUGGCCAUGUCCAUAGCCGUUAUGUGCUGCUGCGAUAAUCCAAGAAUGGGACGAACAUUGUUUUGAAAAUUAAAUUUAGUUUUCUUAAUCAAACGUAACUAUUUUAUUAGCACAUAUCGAUACGUAAUAGCUGUUCUAUCACCGACAUUCUCACCUAAAUACUUCACUAGUUCACUAGAGAUUAAAAUACAUCAUCAAGUCCGUUACUCUUCAAACUUCAGUGAAAAAUCUUGAAAAAAUGCUUGAAAAAUGAUCUCGUAAACAAAAUUUCUAAUACGUUCACUAUACGAAUUUGGUUGCAUGUCUUGGUAAUAAUAAGAUUAGCUAAAAUAGUUUGUUUCUUGAAACAUUAUUUAUUAGGCGAGAAACCGACUCAUGUAGUUUUGCAGUGUUUUCGUACUCGUUAUGCCACUGUCUUUUUGAAGAGAACAGGAUGAUAAUCGAAUCGUUCCGACCGGAAAACGGCGGUCGCCCAGCCUCAAACUAAGCCGCUCCAGAGUAUUUUACCUUUCUAUCUUUGUCUGCGAAUUUGCUAACAGUCAAAAUAUAUGCGUCCCACGCACAACCUCUGCCACAUGAAUCGCUCAGAGCCUAGGCUUGAUAUUAUUAUUGUUAUCAAAUCAACGUCAGAUUGUGUGAUAUGUUAUAGUAGAUUGUUCAGUAAUAAAGAAUUGAUUCAUUAGUGAA
Molecule: non-coding RNA, 5447 nt
Organism: Varroa destructor (honeybee mite)
Lineage: Eukaryota; Metazoa; Arthropoda; Arachnida; Mesostigmata; Varroidae
Source: RefSeq, a predicted model, not a curated record